GAUGAACGCUGGCGGCGUGCCUAAUACAUGCAAGUCGAGCGAACAGACGAGGAGCUUGCUCCUCUGACGUUAGCGGCGGACGGGUGAGUAACACGUGGAUAACCUACCUAUAAGACUGGGAUAACUUCGGGAAACCGGAGCUAAUACCGGAUAAUAUAUUGAACCGCAUGGUUCAAUAGUGAAAGACGGUUUUGCUGUCACUUAUAGAUGGAUCCGCGCCGCAUUAGCUAGUUGGUAAGGUAACGGCUUACCAAGGCGACGAUGCGUAGCCGACCUGAGAGGGUGAUCGGCCCACUGGGAACUGAGACCCGGUCCAGACUCCUACGGGAGGCAGCAGUAGGGAAUCUUCCGAAAUGGGCGAAAGCUUGAGGGAGCAACCCCGGGUGAGGGAUGAAGGUCUUCGGAUCGUAAAACUCUUUUAUUAGGAAAAAAAAAAUGUGUAAGUAACUAUGCACGUUUUGACGGUACCAAAUCAAAAAGCCACGGCUAACUACGU
RNAcentral lists this ribosomal RNA (496 nucleotides) under uncultured bacterium. RNAcentral's name for it is "partial 16S ribosomal RNA". It matches the Rfam family "Bacterial small subunit ribosomal RNA", at positions 28 to 506 of the family's 1533-position model. The record is from RNAcentral.